AUGCCGAUGCAAAUUACUCUGCCUAGUCAGUACUCAGUAGCCAGUGAAAUUGUUGAACAAUUAUUAUCUUGUUUCCCAAAGGUUGCCGUCAAUGAUCCGCUCAGGAAAUGGAUGGACAACUGCUACCGCGGGGUACCCCUCAGCGGACUAGGGAAGCAUAGGGAGAAGCUACCGAGGGCAUUCGUUUCGCAUCCUGGCGGGAAGAGCUACUCGACGGUGUUGAAACUGGUCAGGAGACUUUCUGCAUGCGAGACAAUGGGUUCUGCAACAACAAUCUGCAGUGAAAAGACUGGAACAUUAACUUUAAAUCAGGCAUACUUUGGUGGUGAGAAGAUGGAUCCUCCAGAUAACACUCAGAAGCUAUCUGCUGCUGUAUCAACAAUGAUUAUUGAAGGAACUGCUCAGAAUACAUCUGGAAGCAUAUUUGAGCCGGAGGCUGCUUCUAGUGCUCGUGCCACGGCAUUCACCGCCACCACUCCAGACCGUUCACCAUCACCUCACGAGUUCGUUGAACAACGGAGGGGGCGUCAUGCUGCGGGUGGACAUGGUGUUGCGCUAGGGUCCUUGAUAGUUAGGGCUCCUUCAUAG
RNAcentral lists this ribosomal RNA (588 nucleotides) under Triticum aestivum (bread wheat). RNAcentral's name for it is "partial small subunit ribosomal RNA". Lineage: Eukaryota; Viridiplantae; Streptophyta; Magnoliopsida; Poales; Poaceae. The record is from RNAcentral.